GAGACUCUAUUGGAAUCGCAUCCUGUCUCCAUCUCUCUUUUCUCUUGCCCUGCCCCCGUCCCCUGUCCCCUCUCCAGUGAUUAUAAAAAGGAAGCACUAUUGACAUGAAGAUAUGGACCAGGACCACAGAUGAAUCUAUGGUAAAUGAUAUUCUGCCUUGCUGUUUGCAGCCACCAUGAAUUGGAGAAACUCCAUGCCACUCUGUCUUGGAGCCAACUGAAUACUGACUGAAACCUCUAAAAAGUUUGGGAAAUAAACCGUUCCUUUCCCAACUUUGGGCAUCAGAUAUUUUGUCUCAGUGGUGAGUAAAAAGUAACUAAGACAUAAUUUGGUACCAAGAGUGUGGUCGUGGCUGUGACUAUACCUUGAACAUGUUUUUCAAGAGGCUUUGGAAAUGGUUUGUGGGCAGUUUGGAAAGGUUUGGACAUGUUACCUGGAUGUAUACAGCUGGAUGUAACAGCCCUGUUCUGUAGAGGAGAUUCCAAUCAGAGCUCAGGAGACCAGAAGGCUGACAGAAAGCCUGAAGUUAAAGACCAGGUUUAGUAGCUUUCUCUUGGGAAGAAUGAUUGCACUGGCUGUUGAACUCUGAACCAUGUGUAUUCCAGCUUAGCAGAAAGUUUGUCUGCAUUUUUUUUCACACCCAGAGACUUUGCCUGAGACUAAGACUAAGGGCAAUGUUGAGGCUGUGGCAUGGCUAUGGUUGGGGAGUUUUAGCCAGAUAUAUGUAGCAAAUCAAGAGCAAAGAUCCCAGCAGAAUAACUUAAAACACAGUGAGUUUGACCAGAAUAAAGCUUCAGUAAAGCUGUGGAUUAAAGUGAUAGAGCUGAGACUUUGAUUGCUGAAAGGGAACAAAGAAGUAAGGAAGAUGGCCAGGGUCAUCCCAAGAAGUAGGGGGUCUCCAUCCUUUACAGCCUCAAAAGGGCAAAAGUGAAACAGCGUGCUCACAGGAGAAAGCUUCAGAGCACCAUGCUUCAAAAUGGUGACAGAGGUCACAUGAGGUUCCAGAAUGGUGGCAACAUAGAAAAACUUUUCAUCACAAUCAGGAAAACAGAGCCCAGUGAUCCAGACACUGGACCCCUACAGCCAAGAGAAAAGCCUGGUGACUGCUCCAGCUGGCAGCAAAACUGGGUGACACCCACAUGGUGCUGAUUUUAGGUACAUGGAAAAUGCACAAAUUCUGAGGGUAAGAUGGCUUCCUCCUCCAUUGCAAAGGGCCUGGGAGGCCAAGCAGUGUUCCUCUGAGAGGGAAAUUUGUAAAGAUGUAAAGGUGAAGCCAAAGGUGUAAUGGAGACCCCAAAAGUUUGGAAAAUCCAGGAACAUGGAUCAUCCAAGAAGAGCUGCAAAAAGGGAACAGAAACGGUUAAGAGAGAAGUGGUAGGAGUUGAAAUCUUUGGAAGUGCUGUGGGGGGUGGAAUCACGCAAGCUUUUUGGAGCUUGCAACCAGAUUGCUUCAAAUGGGAAGCAUGGAACUCUCUUUCACCCUGCUGGAUGUUGGACUUGCAUUGUCCCCAAUGCUUUAUAUUCUCAUCUGUAACUUUUGGAAUGGUAAUGUUUACUUUGUGCCUUUGCAUUUCAGAAAUGUUUAACCUUGUUUCAUUUGUACAGGGGUUUACAGUUAAGAGUUUGCCAUAGAUAUUGGAGACUUGGGACUUGGACUUCUCAGCAAUGCUGCAAAUGUUAGAACUUUGGAAACUCUUGGAAUUGGACUAAAUGUAUCUGUAUAAAGAAAGGACAUGAUUCUUUGGGGAUCAGGGGUGAAAUGUAUGGUUUACAUUGGGCCCCCGGCCUCACAAGUUUGUAUUGUGCAUUUGUGAUUGGAUCAUUGUCUAGUACUUCGAUUGACAGUGUCAGUGCUACACUCGCCUAGAGGCAGAGACAGCAUACAGUGUAAGGGCUGGAAGAAAGAAUGUCUCUCUUGGAAGUUUCUGCAAUGCUAUUUUCAGCUGCCAUGAAAUGUGGCCUCACCAUGACACCCUGCCUUGGAGCCAACCUAAGAUGGUUUGAAACCUCCGAAAACCAUAUGAAAUAAACCAUUUCUUUCCAAACUUUGGGCAUCAGUUAUUCUGUCUCAGAGAAGAGUGAAAAGUAACUAAGACAUUCACCAAGUUCUGGAGUACAGACUCCAUCAAUGUAGGUAUUCAUUUACAAGUUGGUGCUAUUUCCAAACCUUCUACAACUGUCUUUUGACAUCUGAUACUGUGGAAGACAUUGGGAAGACUUUCAUAUCAUGGUCAUAUAAUUCCUGCAAUUUUACUUUCCAAUAAACUGGAGCCCCUUGUAUGAAGCAAUGUGGAUCAAGAUUCCAUUUGAAUGGAUCAAAUGCUUUAUAAGACCCCUCCAGAUAUCAAUACAUUGGUGAUGGCUCAUAUAUUACAGCCAAUAGAGGGAAAUGUACACUAAAAUAAGUGCUGAAUAUAUGAAGGUGAAUCCUCUACCUGUGGUGAAAUGAAGAUUUCAAUACUUUUUUCUGAUCAACUUAUUUCUUUUUCCUGACAACGUGGAGCUUGAGGUCUGUAAUGGCCCUUCAGAACUGUCCUAAACUGAAGGAACAAUGCUAUGCCUGAAACUAAUUCUUUGAUUAGGCAUUAGUUAGGAACUUGUACGAAAGGGAAUGACUUUAUAUCAGGAAAUUUUCCACAGCUGAUAGUAAUUCAUAUAGAGGACUUGAGUGAAAAAUGUCACUUGUCAUCACAUGAAACAUUACAGGAAGAAUGCUUCAUCAAGAAGGAACUGAACUGGACUAUGUCUUCAAAACUAAAGAUACAAAAUUUAAAUAAAAACCAGUUGGUUUUGAUACAAAAAAAUAAGAAGAAAGGAACAAAGAAUUUAAAGGUAUAUCAAUCAAAAUUUGUUAUUCUGAAAAACCAAAGGACAAAUAUAACUAUAUCUAUCUAUCUAUCUAUCUAUCUAUCUAUCUAUCUAUCUAUAUACAUUUAGUUAUAUAAAUACAUAAAAUUUCUCAUACAUGUGAAAAUUUGACUUUCAUAAUAUUGAAGCUAUAGUAAUAGAGAAAAAAACAUGGUGAGCUUGACAAACACUCACAAAAAUAAUAGUUACCAAUUUUCUGAAUUUGUCAAGAGGCAAAACAUCAAUAGUAGCAUCACAUAGAAUUUAUUAAAUCACCUACAUACAAAAACCAUAUAACAAAUAAACUACAAAUGAAAGUGAAAGAAAAAUGAUUGACAUGAAUUAAUAAAAUAAACAGGUCAUUAUACAGAAGCAGUACUUCCAAUGUCAACUAAUUGUUCAAUGGAAAUCAUAGAAUUGAGAAAGAUAACACAUUUCCCGAGUGUUAACAAACUAUCAAGUAAGAAUCCUAUGUUGAAAGAAACUGUAUUUCUGGAAUGAAAAUGUUAAAAAGACAAUCUCAGACAAAGGGAAGAAAAUUAACUUGCAUUUAUCAGACUAUCAGAAAAAAAAGGUUGCUGAUUGUAGUUUUUCAAGGAAAAGAAAAUGUAGAGCAUCAGCAAAGAAGGAAGAGAAACAGAAUGAGUGUGACAUCAGAGAAUAAAUAGACCUUCUUUCACCAAGUGAGCUUUCAAAAUGAGGUUUGGUUUGGAACAAAAGAUAUAGCAUUCUACUCUGUAUUUCAGAGUCUACAAAAGUUUUUACAACACCUCUAUUAUGAGAGAGAGAGAGAGAGAGAGACAGAGAGAGAGACAGAGAGAGAGACAGAGAGAGAGACAGAGAGAGAGAGAUGCAGAGACAGAGGGAGACUUCAGGGAAACGUUUAUAUAUUUACUUAAAAGUAUGCAGAUGUCAACUCAAAUUCCUUGCAAUAAGGCAGAUGGCUUAGUUUUAGUUUACUCAAUGCCCAAACACUACAGUAACUCACAGUUCAAAACAUAGAGCAGGCACUAAAAUGUUUGCAUCUGUACAAAGAAAUAUAUUUUAAAACACAAUAAAUAGAGCACAUAGAUUUCUAAAUAUGUUUAAGUAACAUGACAGCUGUAACAUGAGGAACACAAAAAUGAAAAAUAGAAUUUUUAGAAUACAACAAAAAGGCAGACAGAAGCCUUCAUGUAUCAAUUACAUUGACUGUAUUUGACCUGUAUUAGUUAUCCUUACUAGAGAAAUGAACAGAAGAUAUAAAACAUAUAAGAAUUUACAAAAUUAACCUGCAGUGACUAUUCACACAGAGUGGGAAAAGUAUGUCUGCAAACUGCAGUUGUGGAGGAUCCAGGCGAAGGCCUGCAGCUCAUUACAGUGUUGCAUGUAAAUCCAUAUCAGGAAGCAAAAAGGUCUGCACCAAAGGCUGAAGGAUCUAUGAUGGAGGCUAAAAUGGCUACACAAGAAACCAGGAGAUAGUGCCCAAGGUAAAAAUGAAAAGUAAAGCUUCUCCAAAGGGAACAAAAGAAGUCUUUCCUUUUUAGUUUCCCUUUUCACAGCAUUCUGGGGAAUAAUUCUCCCCAGAGUGGAUCUUCCACACCUAGAAAUAUGCUGAACCAAUUUAAUUCUGGUUGACAUACUCAAUCAGCUGUUACAUGACUUAACUGCAUCAAUUUAAAAACUGAAAUCAAUGACAAGCAUUCCUUCCAAAUUAACUAAAAAUAUUGGUCUCUACAAGAAAAGUCUAAAAAUAUUACAGUUUCAAGAAAGUGAAAUAAUUGAGAAGCAUAUAUCAAUUGACUUCAUGCAGAUCAAAGAAAAGCAAAAGAAAAAGUCUCAUAGACAUGGCAUAAUAAAGGAUAAAUCAUGUAAUACACUGACCAUAAAUGCAUGAGAUCCAAACAAAAUGCAAAAAUAAAAACUCUGAACUCAAUGUAAAUAGAUCAGAGUGGCCCUCAGCUCCCUGUGCUUCCCCUUGUGAGCUGAAAGUGUACACAAUGAUUUCCAGCCCACAGGGAAGCCUUGGCAUACAACUCUGAGACUGGCAGGCCCCCACCCCGCAUCCCACAUCACAGAAGGACCCACAGGAAAGUCCCUCAGCCCUAUUUAGGCUCCAUUCAGUAACCCCCCAAAUGGCCCAGAGACACCUGUGUUCCACAUUGUGAGCCAAAGUGUGUGCAGCAACCUCUAGUCCAUAGGGAAGCUUUGGCACACUGCUCUGAGACUGAUAGGGCCUUGCCCAGCAUCUUCCAUCACAGGCUCUCCCCUGGACCAAUUUGGCCCCACCAAAUGAUCCCCAAGAUGCCUGAAGGUGCCUGCAGUCCACUUUGUGAGCCAAAAUUACAUGCAGCAAUUUCCAUCCCGUGAGACAGACUUCACUUGCUGCUCCAAGACUAUUUGUGCCCCACCUAGUGACCCCAAGUGGCUGGGAGCCACGUGGUGAGAUCUGUCUAAGGACUUCCACAUAACUUGAGGAAACUACCUGGAGUAAGGAGAGAUGUUCCCAACCCCAGAAACAACUGAGACCUUGCCUCAGCUUCCCUAAAGGAAUAAAAGAAAAGGACAAGGCAAUAGAGCAAAAUGCAAUCUCAAACCUCCGCCCAUCCCUAACACGCCUAGGAAACAUGGAUAUAGAACAAAAUGCAAGCAUACACGUGAACCUCCUAAAAUGAUAGUCACUGAAGUAAAGAAACAACUCUGGGAAGCUAUAAAAGAAUGCAGGUCAGAAAUAAUCUCCCAGGUAAAAGAAGAAUUGAAAAAUAUAAUGAAAAAAAUGUGGAACACGUCUAGAGAAGACAUAGUUUAAAAUUAGAGACAAUGCAAAAAGAUGGAACCUUGAAUGAACAAUACAAGAAAUAAAAAAUGCAUGAAACAGAUUCAAAGAGAUAUGCAGGAAGCCAAAAUCUCCAUCAAAGUUGGCAAAAGAGCCUCAAUGAAAAUGAAGAUAGACUUUCAGACCUAAAAGACAAGAUUUUAGCUAGUGAAGAGGAAAAGGAAAAUCUUUCUAAAACAACAAGGAAUCAAGAUAUAAAAAUUUAACUGCUACAAGAUGAUUCAAAGAAAAAACAUAAGCUUGAAAGUAUAAACAAAAUGAAGAUGUCAACACAAAUUAUAUCAAGAGAUUAUUCACAGAAGUAGUAGCUCAAAAUUUCCCAAACAUGAUAAUGCAACCUGAGAUAAAGAUAAGUGAAAUAUAUAAAACUCCAAAUAGCCAUAACCAAAAUAAAACCACACUCAGACAUGUAAUAAUCAAUAUCCCAGAAAGCCAACUUAAGAAAAGAAUAUUAAAAGCUGUUAGAGAGAAGAGACAGAUCAUCUAUAAAGGAAAGCCUAUCAGAUUAAGAACAGACUUCUCAACACAAACAGUGAAGUCAAAAAGAGCAUGGAGUCAAGUAUUUCAGAUCCUAAAGGAAAACAACUUCCCACCAAGAUUGAUGUAUCCUGCAAAAUUGUCCUUCAAAACAGAUGGAGAAACAAGACAAAGAACAGCUGAACAUUUUCAUCACUGCCAAAAUAACCCUUCAAAGAACACUACAAACAUUCUAGAUAGACAUAGCAAAAAAAAAAAAAAAAAAAAAACACUAAGCAAGGCAAACAAUUAAACAGAGAGGAAAGAUAGAGGAUCAACAGCAGAAAGAUAACAUAUCAAAAAUAAACCAAUAUGUAUCAAUUAUAACCAUUGAUGUAAAUAGCCUCAAUUCACCAAGUAAAAGAAACAGACCAGCAAAAUGGAUCAAAAAACAGCAUCCAACCAUAUGCUAUAUACAAGAAGCACAUCUAGCCCAAAAAGAAACUCACACUGAAAGUUAAAAGAUUGAAAAAAUCUUUCAUGCCACAGGAUGUGGGGACGGGCACAUCUCAUUGCAUGCUCAGCCUUCCUGACACAUUCCUUGCACCCCUUGGGACCUCCACUGGCAUACAAGGUUUGGCUGCUUCUGCAUCCCACUGUCCUGUACAUGGCCACCCUUUGUUCCACUUCCUGGGUCUAACAUUGCUGUUGAUCUUUAGUUUCCAUUCCUUCUCCCAGAAACUUGGACUGAAUUGGAUUAACUGUGCUGGAUUGAUGGGAGACUUGGUAACCUAUCAUUCAAAAAAAGACAUUAGCAGGCUUCCACCAGUGUGGUGAGUUUGCCCCUAAAACAGAAGUCUUCAGUGAGUAAAAAGGAGCAGUGGUGAAGUUCUCUUCAGCUCUAGGACCUUGAUGAGCUUGUCGAGUGUGAGUGAGUCAUUCCUCCACACAGAAAACAUCAGGUAGGCUGAGGAGUGAGCAAAUAAGGCCUCCCUCAACCUGGAGAAAAUUAAAAGGGCUUAUGAGACACUCACUGACAUAGUAGGGUCUCACAUAAGACAAACACUAUAGACAAAGGGAUCUGGUGACCAAGCACAACCUGAAGACAUAGGAACAGCAGGAACUAAGGACUGACUUGCAUCAAUACUUCUAGGGUAGUCUGCAUAGGAAGAAUAUAGGACUCAUCCCAUAGGCCCUGUAGGUGGAAUUUAGGUGACUACACCUGUUCUGCAUUGUGGCACCCAGAAACUGGACAAACAUAAAGCACACAGUAGGACCCUAAGAUACACAUUAUUGAGAGUUGAGAUGAGUGGGAUUGAAACCAAAAAAUAUUAGCCUGAAAGAUAAAAAUGACAAAAUGUGAAAGCAAAAUGUAUUCCAGCAGGUGCAUGUGCAGGAGACAUUGAAAUAGAGGGCUUUAAAAAUCAUACAUCAGAAAUCUCUAAAAAAAUAACAAAACUAAUAAAUAAAUCCAUGAGGCUACAGAGGAAAUCAAAUUAUAAAUAUUUACUCACAUAAAGACAGAAAUAAGAACUUAGGAAAGGAGUUGCUCAAUGUAGCUAGACAAGAAAUAGAUGAAAGAAAUUGUAUUGGAUCAUGGGAAACUAAUUGAAACAUUGAAUGAACAAUACAGAAAACAACCAGAAUCCCUGAAGCAAAUUAAAAGAGAAAGACGAGGAACAAAAAAUUCUAUUGAAAGCUGGCAAAAUCAUUUAAAUGAAGAUGAAGAUAGAAUUUUGGACCUUGAGGAUAGGAUCACACUUAGCGAUCAUGAAAGGAUAGAACUUUUAAAAGUAACAGAGCAGCAUAAAAUGAUAAUUCAGCAUCUUCAAAAUGAUGCCAACAGAAACCACAUAAGACUAAUACGCAUCAAUGAAGAUGCAGGCGUAAACACAAAUAACUCAGGUAAAUUAUUCACAGAAACAAUAAAAGACAAUUUCCCCAACAUGAAGAAAAUUCUGAUAAAUAGAUAAGUGAGGUGUAUAGAAAACCAAACAAUCACAACCAAUAUAAAUCUACACCCAGACAUAUAAUAAUUAAGAUGCUAGACAUGCAGCAUUAAAACAGAAUGCUAAAAGCUGUUAGAGAAGACACAACUCACCUAUCAAGGAAAGCCAAUUAGAAUCAUGGCAGACAUUUCAGCACAAACCCUCAAGUAAAGACAAGCUUGGAGUCAAGCUCUGAAAAAAAAAUAACUUUCAACCGAGAUUGAUGUAACCAGAAACUUUCAUGCAUAUUUAAUGGAGAAACAAGAUCCUUCCAUGAGAAAAAACACCUGAGGAAAUUUGUGUCCACAAAACGAACCCUAAAAAGAGUACUGAAAGACAUACUAGACAGAGACAAAAAUGACCACAAUUUAAGAACAACAAAAGAAACAAACUAUCAGGCAGGGCAAUCAAUUGAAGAUGGGGAAAAAGCAGAAAAGCAGCAACAAGAACAUAACAUGACAAAGUUGAGCCACUAUAUAUCAGUUACAUCCAUCAAUGUAAAUGGACUCGAUUCACCUAUUAAAAGAAAUGUGUUGACAGAAUGGACCAAAAAACAGGAUCCCACAAUAUGCUGUAUAAAAGAAACACACCUGACUCAAAAGGAAACUCAUAGAUUAAAAGUCAACAGAUGGAAACAUUUUUCUUUAUAGUUGGGUUCUCUUGUAUUUGGUGCAAAUAUAUUUGUAGCUGUUAGUUCUUCCUCUUGAAUCUUUCCACUAACGAGUAUGUACUGACCUUCUUUAUCUCUUUUAAUCACUUUAGGUUUGAAGUUCACAUUUUCUACAAAUAGUAUAGUUACUCUUGCUGUUUUCUGGGUUCCUGUUGUAUGGAAUCAUCUUUUGCAUCCUUUGAAUUUAAUCUAUGAGUUUCCUCUUGGUCAGAUGUGUUUCUUGUAUACAGCAUAUUGUGGGAUCAUGUUUCUUGAUCCAUUCUGUCAAUUUAUUUCUUUUGAUUAGUGAAUUCAGGCCAUUUACAUUUAUGGAUAUAACUGAUACGUCCUGGCUUGACUUUGCCAUAUUAUGUUCCAGUUGUUUUCUUUCUACUUUCCCCCCUUGUUUAAUUGCUUCCCCUAACUGGUGCUUUCUUUCUGUGGUUGUUCUGGGGAUUGUGGUCAUUUUUUUAUCUCUACCUAUUAUGUCUUUCAAUACUCUUUCUAGGGUUCAUGUGGUAUUGUGUAUCUUGGGGUCCUGCUGUAAGGUUGAUUUUUUGCUAGAUUCCACAAUGAAGAAGAGGUGGGCCAGUCACCUGACUUCCCACUGCAGGGCCUGUUGGGUGAGUCCUAUAUUUUCCAGGGAUGACAAGCCUAGUAGUGAUGAUAUAGCUCAGCUUUUAGUUGCUGCAGUUUCUUUAUCUUUAGAUAAUUCCAGGUCACCAAAUCUCCCUGUCUAUAGUGCUCAUGCCAGCUGAGGCUCUGCUAUGUCCCUAUUGUGUGUCUCUGUGUGUCAUAAGCCCUUUUGAUUUACUGCAGGUUGGCGAAGUCCUUAUUGGCACACACCUUACUCUUCUUGUUGUCCUCUGUGUGCUUGAAAGAAUCGGCCACACUCUUGCCAGACUCACCAAGGUCUAACAGUUAGUUGGAGGGAGCUUUCCUACUGGCACUAUUUACCCAGUGAAUGCCUCUAUUUUAGGGGUAUACUCACCACACUGACUACAGCCUAAGGAAAUCUUCUGUUUGGGUAAGGAAGUUACUGAAUCUCCCUUCAAGCUAUCACAGUUAAUCUUUUGUAGUCCAAGAUUCUGGGAGACAGUGUGGGAGAUGAAUAUCAACAGCAGUAUUAGGUCCAGGAGGUAGGGAGAGUUCCCGAGGUGCUAGCAGGUGUCCUGAGUCUGGGUAUCCACUGGGUGGGUGGGAAGCACAAUGCAGCAACAUAGAUGGUCCUGAGCCAAAGAAUGGGCCAAUGGCAUCAGUCUGGGUGUCUGAAGGCUAUGCAGGAAGAAGGGAAUGGCAGCGUAUGUGUACCUGGGCCACGGAGCAGGCAGCGGCAUCAGUCCAGGCAUCUGUGGGGUGCUAUCUUGCAUUGAAAUCCUAUGUUGCUUUCAUGGUUUGUUCUGAGUGGGUUCAUUCUGUUUCAUCCUGUUUGGGCCUGUUCUACUUAGCAAAGCUGUAACUUCAACUGGUUGUUGAAGUUUUAGGGUAAAUGCCAGGAAAGACAUAGGAGCAUAGUGUUUGGAACCUGCUGAGGUCUUCUGUUUGGGUGAGAGGUCACUGAGUCUCCCUUAAACUUAGCAUUGUUAAUCCACUGCAGUUUAUGUUCUGGAAGGAGGAGUGGGGGCCAAAGAGCAAGUACCUGGCCUAGGAGAUGGGGAGCUUCACUGAGCGGGCAGCCAUUGGCGCAGUCAUUCUUUCAGACCAGUAAGAGUCACACAGGAAGUGCAUGGAGGCACAGGCCAAGGUCUGAGAGCUGUGCCAGUCCCUCAGGGAUGACAGGGGUUGUGCAGGAAACACAGAGCAUCAAGGUCAAGGUCCAAGGGUGGUUUGGCAUUCCUCAGUGUCAGCGGGAGUCAUGCAGGAAGCACACAGAUGCAUGGGCCAAGCAGGUUUUGGUAUUAGUGCUCUCCGUAUACCAAAAACUAAAACUGGAUCUGUGCUUAUCACCAUGUACAAAACUAAAGUCAAAAUGGAUCAAAGAUGCAAAUUUUAAAACAGAAACAGUAAAUCUGCUGAAAGACAAAGAAGGUGGAAAUCUAGAAGACAGGGAUAGUUAGAGAAGUCAUGAAGAAAAAUCAACCUAUACUGGAAACACUUCCCAGAAUGAAUAACUAGCAUCUCAUCUUAUUAAGAAGUCAUUGCAUGUCAGAAGUAAUCUCCAGCACAGUAAAAUGGAAACCAAUGAAUUUUGAAAAUAUCUUUGUCAACUUUCCUUCAGACCAAUGACUUCUGUCUAGAACAUAUAAAGAAUCUGAAAAAACCAGACCCUUGGAACUCAAAGACAAAAUCCAAAAAUGGGCAUCUGAGAUGAAUAUAUAGUUCUCAUAUAAAGAAAUACAAAAGGAAAAAUACAUGAAAAAAAUGCUCAGAAUCAUUAGUCAUUAGAGAAAUGCAAAUUAAAACAGCAUUGAGAUUCCAUCUCACUCUAGAAAGAAUGACCAAGGUAAAGGAAACUACCAGCAGCAAAUGCUGGUGAGGUUGUGGGGAAAAAGAAACAUUUCUGCACUGUUGGUGGGAGUGUGGACUGGUACAACCUCCAUGGAGGUCAGUCUGGAGGUUCCACAAAAAUCUGGGACUGGAAGUCCCAUUUGAUCCAGCUAUUCCACUUUUGGGCAUAUUCCCAGAAAAACUGAAAACAUCAUAUCACAGUGAUAUAUAUGUACCAUGUUUAUAGUAGCACAAUUUGUAAUAGCCAGAUCUUGGAAACAACCUAAAUGCUCAUCAAGUGAGAACUGAGUAAAAAUUAUGUGGUACUUUUAUACAAUAAAGUACUACUCCACUGUAUAAAAUGGAGCUAUACUCAGCUAUAAGGCAUGAUCACAUUGAGAUAUUUAUUGGAUGCAACUUGAGACUCAUAAGUGAAAUAUAUCAAAUUCACCUGUGUAAAUACUGUAUUGUCUCACUAGUGUAAGAAAUGGUAGAGACACAAGACAUAAGACACAAAAUGCACAAUAAAUUCAGAGAAAUAGUAAGAAUCUGCUCAAAGUGGAAAAAAGUAAUAUCUCAUGGAAAAGGAAGAAAAAGUAAGAGAAAAGAAAAAUAUCUAAAUUUGUAUAAACACAUGAUAGUUAAGAUGGCUGUGCUAUGAAUUCUGUAAGUUCUAGGAACAAAGCAGUUAACAUUCAUAGGAAUGGAACAAUUUUGCAUGUUUGUACCUUUAAUCUGAGGAACUCUUUUGAAGAUAACUGUAAAAUAACAACCUUCGUCAUGUUCCUAAUACAUUGUAUUGAAUUCCUAUAUAAUUACUAUUUUGGGCUCUUUGCUAUUGUUAUUUAUUUUUUUGUUUUGUGUCUUGUUUUUCUAGUAAGCUGACUUUCUUUGCUUUCUUUUGUAUUUCCCUCUAAUACAGAAAGGUUUGAUGUACAUGUAGAGGCUUAUACAUUCCUAGAACUUUUCCUAAAUAGUUUGUGAGAACUGAUUUUAUUUUGUGUGAUGAAAUGAACAGCUAAUUUAAAGAAAAAGAGACAUUAUAGUAGCCAUUGAUGAUUUCCUAUCACCAUGCUGUAAAAUCCAGGAAUGUUUUUAUUCUUCAUUCAGAGUUGUUUUAGUCUGUUUUGUAUUAUUUAAUUUCAACAUACAGGAAGGUAUGGACAGCUAUUUUGAAGAGAACAAGAGAUAUUAUGGUAACCAUUUUUUUUUUAUUUUCCUAUUGUCCAGUUUUGAAGGUUCAUAAUGCCUUCAUUAUUCUGUUUUGAUCAGUUUUAUACUAUUUUGUUUUGCAUGAAUUAUUUGUGUGAGAAGAUAUAGACAACUGGUUAGAAGAAAACAAGAGACAUUAUGGUAGCCACUACUGAGCUCCUGUUCUUUGUGUCACAUAUAUUAUCUUCUUCUGGUCUGCUUUGUUCUGUUUUAUUUUAUCUUUUGUUUCACCCUCUUUAAAAUAAAAAAAAAUAUUAUCUCAA
This is a long non-coding RNA of Cavia porcellus (domestic guinea pig), 12657 nucleotides long. RefSeq lists it as uncharacterized. The record is from RefSeq and is a predicted model, not a curated record. NCBI's taxonomy places the organism in Eukaryota, Metazoa, Chordata, Mammalia, Rodentia, Caviidae. The transcript has 3 exons.